RNAcentral lists this ribosomal RNA (440 nucleotides) under uncultured bacterium. Its description in RNAcentral is "partial 16S ribosomal RNA". It matches the Rfam family "Bacterial small subunit ribosomal RNA", at positions 338 to 795 of the family's 1533-position model. The record is from RNAcentral.
CCUACGGGAGGCAGCAGUGGGGGAUAUUGCACAAUGGGGGAAACCCUGAUGCAGCGACGCCGCGUGUGGGAAGACGGUCCUCUGGAUUGUAAACCACUGUCCCCAGGGACGAAAAUGACGGUACCUGGGGAGGAAGCUCCGGCUAACUACGUGCCAGCAGCCGCGGUAAUACGUAGGGAGCGAGCGUUGUCGGGAAUUACUGGGUGAAAGGGGAGCGUAGGCGGGGAUGCAAGUUGGGUGUCAAAACUACCGGCUAAACUGGUAGUCGCACUCAAAACUGCAGCUCUUGAGUGAAGUAGAGGCAGGCGGAAUUCCUGGUGUAGCGGUGAAAUGCGUAGAUAUUAGGAGGAACACCAGUGGCGAAGGCGGCCUGCUGGGCUUUUACUGACGCUGAGGCUCGAAAGUGUGGGGAGCAAACAGGAUUAGAUACCCCAGUAGUC